CCCUUAGAUGUUCGGGGCCGCACGCGCGCUACAAUGAGUCGAUCAACGUGCGUAUAUUUCCAAGGCCGAAAGGUCGAGGUAAUCCGUUGAACCCGACCCGUGCUAGGGAUAGGGACUUGUAAUUGUUUCCCUUGAACGAGGAAUUCCCAGUAAGCGCAAGUCAUCAGCUUGCGUUGAUUACGUCCCUGCCCUUUGUACACACCGCCCGUCGCUACUACCGAUUGAAUGGUUCAGUGAGAUAAUCGGAUAGGUAACUCGGUGAGCAGCAAUGUUUACCAAGCAUACAUAGAAGACGAUCAAACUCAGUCAUUUAGAGGAAGUAAAAGUCGUAACA
This 334-nucleotide ribosomal RNA is filed under the name uncultured eukaryote. Its description in RNAcentral is "partial 18S ribosomal RNA". It matches the Rfam family "Eukaryotic small subunit ribosomal RNA", at positions 1470 to 1796 of the family's 1831-position model. The record is from RNAcentral.